CUCAAGCGAGUAUAAAACCAUCCCCCAUCUCUGAGUGUCUGGACGCUAGGGAGGCGCCAAUGAUACUCCUCUCUCUCUUCUCUCCUCUCCUCUCCUCUCCUCUCCUCUCUGAGAAGCCCUCACAGAAGUUCGAAGCCCUUAUGGAUUCGCGAUCUUUGUCAAACCCUAGCGGAGCUCUUUCUUUCUGCUCUCUUUCUAUCUCUCUAGCCCUCACGGAAGCUCAGAAGCAUUAUCUAGACGGAUUUGUGAUUGCUCUCAAACCCUAGCGGUGCUCUCUCUCUCAGUCGUUCUUCACUUGAACCAGAGUAUUGCACAGAGGCAUAUCAGAUUCUGAGUUGAUUGUUGCCCAUUUUCACCAUUUGUGUUUGAUCAGUGGUUUUCAGUUGAUAUUCAUCCAUACAAGUUAUACUUCUUAGAAGAUUGCAGUACUCACAUUCCUCUUUUCUUUGUUUCUUUCACAAGAAAUAUUUCUAGAAGGGAGAGUGGAAUGGCAAUAGUCUGGAAUAUUUGUCAUGCCUUAGUUAACCUUCUUAAAUUUAAUUCUUGGGGUACCUUUUAUGGUUUAAGAUGGUUCGUCUUAAUUAUUAGCCAAGCUCUUGUUUUCGCCUUGGUUUGCAUAAAACAUUUUGAUUGCUUGUUUUACCACAGUUUCAAAUUGAAUAUCCUAGUUUUGGUUUGGAGUUUUGACAAAUAAAUUUGAGAUGAUUAACUAUGUCUAAGGUUUGAACGCAUGGCCGUGUUGCCUUCAAUUUGUACAAAUACUUGGAACACACAGAUUAUUUGGCCAUGGCAAGAUAGUUUUCUCUCUUUAUUGAGAAAAUAUGAUGUUUUAUGGAAUUCUGUUUUUUGUUUGACUUCAUUAUAUGGAAACAAAUGAUGUGCCUAUCAAAGGGCAAGUUGAUGGAUU
Amborella trichopoda is the source of this 907-nucleotide long non-coding RNA. RefSeq lists it as uncharacterized. The record is from RefSeq and is a predicted model, not a curated record. NCBI's taxonomy places the organism in Eukaryota, Viridiplantae, Streptophyta, Magnoliopsida, Amborellales, Amborellaceae.